Molecule: ribosomal RNA, 472 nt
Filed under: uncultured bacterium
Lineage: Bacteria
Description: bacterial SSU rRNA
Rfam family: Bacterial small subunit ribosomal RNA
Source: RNAcentral
CGCUAUCACUCCUACGGGAGGCAGCAGUGGGGAAUAUUGCACAAUGGGGGAAACCCUGAUGCAGCCAUGCCGCGUGUGUGAAGAAGGCCUUCGGGUUGUAAAGCACUUUCAGUAGGGAGGAAGGUAGUGUAGUUAACACCUGCAUUAUUUGACGUUACCGACAGAAUAAGCACCGGCUAACUCCGUGCCAGCAGCCGCGGUAAUACGGAGGGUGCGAGCGUUAAUCGGAAUUACUGGGCGUAAAGCGCAUGCAGGCGGCCUGUUAAGUCAGAUGUGAAAGCCCGGGGCUUAACCUCGGAAUUGCAUUUGAAACUGGCAGGCUAGAGUCUUGUAGAGGGGGUAGAAUUUCAGGUGUAGCGGUGAAAUGCGUAGAGAUCUGAAGGAAUACCAGUGGCGAAGGCGGCCCCCUGGACAAAGACUGACGCUCAGAUGCGAAAGCGUGGGGAGCAAACAGGAUUAGAUACCCUGGUAG